GGACGAACGCUGGCGGCGUGCCUAAUACAUGCAAGUCGAGCGGACAGAAGGGAGCUUGCUUCCGGAUGUUAGCGGCGGACGGGUGAGUAACACGUGGGUAACCUGCCUGUAAGACUGGGAUAACUCCGGGAAACCGGAGCUAAUACCGGAUAGUUCCUUGAACCGCAUGGUUCAAGGAUGAAAGACGGUUUCGGCUGUCACUUACAGAUGGACCCGCGGCGCAUUAGCUAGUUGGUGGGGUAAUGGCUCACCAAGGCGACGAUGCGUAACCGACCUGAGAGGGUGAUCGGCCACACUGGGACUGAGACACGGCCCAGACUCCUACGGGAGGCAGCAGUAGGGAAUCUUCCGCAAUGGACGAAAGUCUGACGGAGCAACGCCGCGUGAGUGAUGAAGGUUUUCGGAUCGUAAAGCUCUGUUGUUAGGGAAGAACAAGUGCGAGAGUAACUGCUCGCACCUUGACGGUACCUAACCAGAAAGCCACGGCUAACUACGUGCCAGCAGCCGCGGUAAUACGUAGGUGGCAAGCGUUGUCCGGAAUUAUUGGGCGUAAAGGGCUCGCAGGCGGUUUCUUAAGUCUGAUGUGAAAGCCCCCGGCUCAACCGGGGAGGGUCAUUGGAAACUGGGAAACUUGAGUGCAGAAGAGGAGAGUGGAAUUCCACGUGUAGCGGUGAAAUGCGUAGAGAUGUGGAGGAACACCAGUGGCGAAGGCGACUCUCUGGUCUGUAACUGACGCUGAGGAGCGAAAGCGUGGGGAGCGAACAGGAUUAGAUACCCUGGUAGUCCACGCCGUAAACGAUGAGUGCUAAGUGUUAGGGGGUUUCCGCCCCUUAGUGCUGCAGCUAACGCAUUAAGCACUCCGCCUGGGGAGUACGGUCGCAAGACUGAAACUCAAAGGAAUUGACGGGGGCCCGCACAAGCGGUGGAGCAUGUGGUUUAAUUCGAAGCAACGCGAAGAACCUUACCAGGUCUUGACAUCCUCUGACAACCCUAGAGAUAGGGCUUUCCCUUCGGGGACAGAGUGACAGGUGGUGCAUGGUUGUCGUCAGCUCGUGUCGUGAGAUGUUGGGUUAAGUCCCGCAACGAGCGCAACCCUUGAUCUUAGUUGCCAGCAUUCAGUUGGGCACUCUAAGAUGACUGCCGGUGACAAACCGGAGGAAGGUGGGGAUGACGUCAAAUCAUCAUGCCCCUUAUGACCUGGGCUACACACGUGCUACAAUGGACAGAACAAAGGGCUGCAAGACCGCAAGGUUUAGCCAAUCCCAUAAAUCUGUUCUCAGUUCGGAUCGCAGUCUGCAACUCGACUGCGUGAAGCUGGAAUCGCUAGUAAUCGCGGAUCAGCAUGCCGCGGUGAAUACGUUCCC
Molecule: ribosomal RNA, 1364 nt
Filed under: Bacillus pumilus
Lineage: Bacteria; Bacillati; Bacillota; Bacilli; Caryophanales; Bacillaceae
Description: bacterial SSU rRNA
Rfam family: Bacterial small subunit ribosomal RNA
Source: RNAcentral